AUUGAACGCUGGUGGCAGGCCUAACACAUGCGAGUCGAGCGGAUGAAGGGAGCUUGCUCCUGGAUUCAGCGGCGGACGGGUGAGUAAUGCCUAGGAAUCUGCCUGGUAGUGGGGGAUAACGUCCGGAAACGGGCGCUAAUACCGCAUACGUCCUGAGGGAGAAAGUGGGGGAUCUUCGGACCUCACGCUAUCAGAUGAGCCUAGGUCGGAUUAGCUAGUUGGUGGGGUAAAGGCCUACCAAGGCGACGAUCCGUAACUGGUCUGAGAGGAUGAUCAGUCACACUGGAACUGAGACACGGUCCAGACUCCUACGGGAGGCAGCAGUGGGGAAUAUUGGACAAUGGGCGAAAGCCUGAUCCAGCCAUGCCGCGUGUGUGAAGAAGGUCUUCGGAUUGUAAAGCACUUUAAGUUGGGAGGAAGGGCAGUAAGUUAAUACCUUGCUGUUUUGACGUUACCAACAGAAUAAGCACCGGCUAACUUCGUG
RNAcentral lists this ribosomal RNA (484 nucleotides) under uncultured bacterium. Its description in RNAcentral is "partial 16S ribosomal RNA". It matches the Rfam family "Bacterial small subunit ribosomal RNA", at positions 30 to 507 of the family's 1533-position model. The record is from RNAcentral.